RNAcentral lists this unclassified non-coding RNA (358 nucleotides) under soil metagenome. RNAcentral describes it as "partial contains 5.8S ribosomal RNA, internal transcribed spacer 2, and large subunit ribosomal RNA". The stretch from base 1 to 120 matches the Rfam family "5.8S ribosomal RNA", at positions 35 to 154 of the family's 154-position model. The record is from RNAcentral.
GAUGAAGAACGCAGCGAAAUGCGAUAAGUAAUGUGAAUUGCAGAAUUCAGUGUAUCAUCGAAUCUUUGAACGCACAUUGCGCCCGUCAGUAUUCUGGCGGGCAUGCCUGUUCGAGCGUCAUUACGCCCCUCAAGUCCCCUGUGGACUUGGUGUUGGGGAUCGGCGAGGCUGGUUUUCCAGCACAGCCGUCCCUUAAAUUAAUUGGCGGUCUCGCCGUGGCCCUCCUCUGCGCAAUAGUAAAACACUCGCAACAGGAGCCCGGCGCGGUCCACUGCCGUAAAACCCCCCAACUUUUUAUAGUUGACCUCGAAUCAGGUAGGACUACCCGCUGAACUUAAGCAUAUCAAUAAGCGGAGGA